Molecule: long non-coding RNA, 1458 nt
Organism: Cryptotermes secundus
Lineage: Eukaryota; Metazoa; Arthropoda; Insecta; Blattodea; Kalotermitidae
Exons: 4
Source: RefSeq, a predicted model, not a curated record
GACGAGUCAGCGAGCAAAGGUUACAAAAACCCGAGACGAACCAUUUUAGGGGCUUCUUCUUUUUGGCUUUGGGCUUUUUGCCUAUUCGAUCCGAUUCGAUUCUAUUCGGAUCUAUUACACUAUUCUUAUUAAUGUCAUUACAUUAGUAUUACAAUUGCGGUAUUCUUCUUCCUUCUUUCUUGCCUGCCUGCCUGUCUGCCUGCCCCAGCGGGCAUUGUUUUUAACUAGAAUUCCUGGUGUUUCCAUUGGCAUGAAGGGAGAAGUAAACACACACUAUUGACAUAUAAUGAUUUUUCUCAGUUAAUGACAUGAUUUAAAGUAAAUGUGAUCGUUUUGACUCAAGUUAUAAUGGAAAUUGAGACACUGUUAAAAUUGUUUGUCAUACAUAUUUAACAUUAACAGUUCUCUGAUAUAAUUAAGAUUAUUAUGAUGUCCUAGUGAAGCAUCAUAUAUUUCGAGGGAGUGAGUGCCUGAUUCUUAUCUUCAGGUGAAAUCUUGGAGAAUUAGAAGACCUCAAAGGAGACUGCUGCUUGGGUUUCUUUGCAUCACUCUUAUAUGAAUUGUGUUGCCACCAUACAAAUCUGACAAUGAAUAUGGAAAUGUUUUAGUGAUGUGUUGUGUUCUUGUGAUAUGAAGAAAAUGGAUCCAGUACUGGUCAUGAUACAUAGAACAAGUGCGUCUUAAUGACAGUGGAAAUGAAACCUCCUCAACAUAACAUCAUUUUUGAGUGAAGCGUCACAUAUUUCGAGGGAGUGAGUGACUCAUACUUUUCUUCGGGUGAAAUAUUAGAGAAUUAGAAGACCUCGAAGGAGAUUUUUCCUUGGGGUUCUUUGCAUCGCCCUUAUAUAUACUGUGUUCCACCAUACAAAUCUGACAAUGAAUAUGGAAAUGUUUCAAAGAUACAUUGUGUUGUUGUGAUAUAAAGAAAAUGGAUCCAGUACUGGUCAUGAUACAUAGCACAAGUGCGUCUUAAUGACAGUGAAAAUGUCACUUCUACACCGUAACAUCAUUUUUGAGGCCAUAUUCUGGAUACUAAUAUAGCAUGGGAAUAUGCUGGUUCUGGUAGGCCUGUGUCAUCCAGAAUACAAGUCAGCCGAAAUGUGUCAAUUCAGACUGAAUGAGCAGGCAAAUUUAGUGGAAUCUGAUUAAGAGUGUUUGUGAAAAUUGAUCUACUCCUGGGUAUGUAAGAGAGACAUAAGUGGUCAUAGAAACAGUGGAAAUGAUACCGCCACAACCUUCCAUCAUUUACGAGUGAAAUUCCUGAAGAUGAACUGGAAUAUUUUCCAAAAAUAUUCUCAUGGCAGCAUCAAUUUAUGGUGAAGCUGAUGGAAAGGUGGUGUGAGGCCGAAGACAACAUACAGGCAAAUACUGAAAUCAUACAUGCCUUGCAGAAAGAGUUAAUUCUCCACAGAGGGGCAGCAAGGUAUCCUGCCAUGAUAAAGGUAGGUUUGUCUACAC